This is a long non-coding RNA of Camelus dromedarius (Arabian camel), 983 nucleotides long. RefSeq lists it as uncharacterized. The record is from RefSeq and is a predicted model, not a curated record. The transcript has 6 exons. NCBI's taxonomy places the organism in Eukaryota, Metazoa, Chordata, Mammalia, Artiodactyla, Camelidae.
AGGGCUUCGAGGGGCGGGGAGUGGUUCCUCAGCUCCUGGGGAAGCAGAAAGGGGCGAGGUUUUGUCCUGAAACCUGUGGCUCCUGGCGGCCGGAAGUGAGCCAGAAAGUCGGAAAAAUUAAGUCACUUCUUGUCGCCAGAAGUCUGGGGGGAAAGCUAAAGCAGAGAAGGGAACAGCCAAGUAGGCCCUGCUUCCAGCCUGCCCUCCUCGCCGCAGGGGCCAGUGGGCGGGGCCGCGGAGCUGGCCGCCCAGAAGCGCGAACAGAGGCUGCGCAAAUUCCGGGAGCUUCACCUGAAGCCGAAUGAAGCUCAAAAAUUAAAUCACUAGGAAGUUGUGAAGGAAGAUAAAAGACUUAAACUACCUGCAAACUGGGAAGCUAAAAAAGCUCGUUUGGAAUGGAAGGAAAGAAAAAAGAAUGUGCAGCAAGGUGGGAAGACUGAGAAAGUGAAAUUGCUGGAGAUCAGUGCAGAAGAUGCAGAAAGAUGGGAGAAGAAAAAGGAAGAAAAACCAGAUCUGGGUUUUUCAGUUUUUUAGAUUACGCUGCUGCCCAGUUAACGCCGGUAUCAUAGGUUAACCAAGCAGAUCAAACCUGACAUGGAAACAUAUGAAAGACUGAGAAAAACAAAUUGAAAAACGAGACAAAUAUAGCCGGAGACAUCCUUAUAAUGAUGAUGCAGAUAUUGACUACAUUAAUGAAAGGAAUGCCAAAUUCAACAAGAAGGCAGAAAGAUUCUAUGGGAAAUACACAGCUGAAAUUAAACAGAAUUUGGAAAGAGGAACAGCUGUCUAAUCUCCUUUAGGAACUGUUUUGACUGCCAAAUUGUACCAGUAAACUAGGACUCAUUCCUUUUAUAACUUGUAGUAAAGUGUUCUACAAAUGUCUGUGUAUUUUCAUACUUAUAUAUUUAUUACUCAGUUUUUGAAGAAAAAUUUGUCUUGUAUUUCUUUGUUUAAAGUGUGUGCUUAACAUGUGCACUCUGCUA